AAUUUUUGACAAUGGGGGAAACCCUGAUCCAGCCAUCCCGCGUGUAUGAUGAAGGCCUUCGGGUUGUAAAGUACUUUUGGCAGAGAAGAAAAGGUACCUCCUAAUACGAGGUACUGCUGACGGUAUCUGCAGAAUAAGCACUGGCUAACUACGUGCCAGCAGCCGCGGUAAUAAGUAGGGUGCAAGAGUUAAUCGGAAUUACGGGGUGUAAAGCGUGUGUAGGCGGUUCGGAAAGAAAGAUGUGAAAGCCCAGGGCUAAAACUUGGAACUGCAUGUUUAACUGCCGAGCUAGAGUAUGUCAGAGGGGGGUAGAAUUCCACGUGUAGCAGUGAAAUGCGUAGAUAUGUGGAGGAAUACCGAUGGCGAAGGAAGCCCCCUGGGAUAAUACUGACGCUCAGACACGAAAGCGUGGGGAGCAAACAG
RNAcentral lists this ribosomal RNA (423 nucleotides) under uncultured bacterium. RNAcentral describes it as "partial 16S ribosomal RNA". It matches the Rfam family "Bacterial small subunit ribosomal RNA", at positions 360 to 775 of the family's 1533-position model. The record is from RNAcentral.